This is an RNA transcript of Amyelois transitella, 6535 nucleotides long. RefSeq lists it as uncharacterized. The transcript is spliced from 2 exons. NCBI's taxonomy places the organism in Eukaryota, Metazoa, Arthropoda, Insecta, Lepidoptera, Pyralidae. The record is from RefSeq and is a predicted model, not a curated record.
GGUAACCGACUAAAAUCCUUUUCCUUACCUACAACGCCAUCUAGUAUCGUCCUGUGACAUCUACACGUCAAGAUUGCAACCCCCUCCCGGGCGGUCGCGCCAAAAAGUAGUCGAAGAAAGAUCGAAGUCACGCAAUCUCGCGCGUAACAAAAUUAAAAAUACUCAAAAAUACCCAAAAGUGAUUACUGCUGUGUGAUAAUUAUUCAAUUCAUUCACCUCUAAGACAAGGAACAGUGCCCCGGGGACAGAAGAUUAACAGCAAGCCAAAUUCACAAAAAAUUUGCUGUAAGUACCUACCCCUUCCUUUUAGUCGGCAUUGUUUCUAUUUUGGGUGUUAAUUUAUAUCAACAAGCAUUAGUUUACGCAACAUAAUUUGGUUCUUCGAGCCGUAUGUAAUUGGCGUUUCAACAGGGUAUCAAAAUAGAUAAAUACACUUUAUUUCACUUGUUAGCCUACGCCUUGUAGGUACCUACUUACGUUUUAUUCAACUCAUAUUUUGCACAAAUAUUCAUUCAAUAGUUCUAUUUGUUGCAAUAUUAUAGUUAUAUACGUAGUAAUACAUCUAUACUUAUCUAUUUCUAUCAUAUUUAAUAUCUUUACGACUCAAUUUAGUGUAUUUUUGUGUUGCGGCACGCGUUAUACCUACCUACCAUUUUCGUUCGUAAUUCAAAAUGGCUCCGUUGUCGGAACUUGAAAUAAAAAUUAAUACACUUAUUAGUCGAAAAGAACGAUAUUUUAGGCGUGUUCAACAAUAUUAUGAUGUAGCUCAAAGUGUAGAGAACAAUAGUUUCGAACUUAGCAAAUUGUCCGUGCGGGUCACUGACCUCGAGUCCACGCGUGAGAUAUUUGAAAAAAUUGUCGAUGAAAUUACCGCGUUGCAAUUGAAACGUGACCCGAAUUAUAUUAUUUCUGAUCAAGAAGUACAUGCUUUCGAUGAUCUUUAUUUCGAGAUAAAACGAAUACUUCAAAAGUUUGAUGAAUCGUGCUCAAAAUCGUCGAAACAUAGUGAAAUAAAAAACGGAUCGGAACGCGGCGCCCAGCCUCGUUUACCUAAAAUCGAGUUAGUGCAUUUUGAUGGAAAAUUAGAGAAUUGGGUUACAUUUCGUGAUACAUUUUCGAGUUUGAUCCAUACAAAUACUGCGAUAGGCGAUAUCGAAAAAUUCUAUUAUCUAUUGUCAGUAGUCAGCGGACCUGCGCUUCAAAUCGUUAAAAGUUUGCCUGUAUCGAAUGAUAAUUAUACCAUCGUGUGGACAAGUCUAUGUGACAGGUACGAAAACAAACGUGCUAUAGCCACGCGUUAUUUGGAUAAGUUGUUUGCGUUUAAGCCGUUGCCUAAUGAGUCUGUAAACGGAUUAAAUUCAUUUUUAGAAACAUUUCAGGAGUGUGUUCAGGCCCUUGAAUUGUUGAAAAUAAAUGAUUUAGCGGGAUUUAUUCUAUGUUAUAUCGGACUUCGUAAUUUAGACCCGGUUUCUAGACGUGAAUUCGAACAAAAAAUUGAUUCUAAGGAAAUACCUAUUAUUAGAACAUUAAUCGAUUUUGUCAACAAUCAAACCCGUAUGUUAGAAAUGUCAACAAGUACAAGUACCUUUAAGCCCGGUGUUAGUAAGUUGUCUAUGUCUUCGUUUUCAAAUAUAUCUAGUGGUAAACCUAACACGAAAAAUAUCAAUACAAAAACGUGUUUGGCUAGUAAUGCGGCCACUGUUAAGGCUGAGCCUACAAACAAAGGCUGUUUGUAUUGCAAUAAACCUUUUCAUUCAAUUUAUAAAUGUUACGAAUACAUUGCGUUGACACCGGUGCAACGAGUAAACAAAAUAAAGGAACUCCGCUUGUGCGAGAACUGUCUCCGUCAAGGUCACGCGCUUAGCGAGUGUCCGUCAAAGAUAACGUGUACGGUAUGCAAAAGUAAACAUCAUCACACGUUACAUGUUGAUUCUAAAAUGAAUUUAGUGAGUACGGAUAGUGAUCGUUCUUGUUAUGAUAAUGUUAACAAUAAUCAUGGGACUCAAGUUUCAUUGACGUGUUCUACUGGGUCCACAGUAAUUUUAGGUACUGCGGUUGUUCAUGUAUCUGAUGUUUUAGGCAAAUAUCAGCCCGUACGUGUAGUGAUCGACAGUGGUUCUCAAACCAGUUUUAUGACAAAUGAUUGUGCACAACGUUUAGGACUUUCGCGUCAAAAGUGCAACACUCAGUUGUUGGGUUUAGGAGGAACAUCUGUUCGUGAUCAAGGUGUGGUUUUAUGUCAAAUCAAACCAACCAUAUCCAACAACCCCAUUUUCAAUAUUAAAACGGUAGUAAUUCCAAAAAUUUCUGGUGAUAUGCCAUCGGUCGAUUUGUCGGAAGGAUUAAAAUUCGAAUAUAAACAUUUGGUGUUAGCUGACCCUACCUUUUAUUACCCGAGCCGCAUCGAUAUGCUGCUCGGCAGUGACGUAUUUCCAUUAAUUUAUGACGGUGGUAAAUAUCAUCCGUCACGACAGGGAUUACCUUUGGCGUUAAGUAGUGUGUUUGGUUACGUGAUUACCGGUCAAAUGACAUUAAAUAAUAAUACUCAAAAUGUGUCGACUUGCAUGUUUACUAGUUCAGCAGAGGUUCAUGACUUAAUUCAAUCUUUUUGGGAGACUGAAACUUUAGCUUGUGACUUACCUAAAAACCCGGAAGACGUCAUAUCCGAACAUAUGUUUGUUAAGGAACAUAAACGGGAUAGUACCGGUCGAUACGUGGUGAGUUACCCGUUUAAACCAAACGCUGAUUUAGGUGAUUCGAAACAAAUUGCAUUGAAAAGAUAUCAAAAUUUAGAACGAAAAUUAUCGCGUUUGCCUCUUUUGCGAGGAGAGUAUAAAAAGUUCAUGGAUGAGUACGUUUCACUCGGUCACAUGGUUUGUGUCGGUGACGUCUCACAAGUGGAGUCAGGGUACGUAAUCCCUCACCACUGUGUUCACAAGCCUGACAGUAGUAGUACAAAACUUCGUGUAGUUUUUGACGCCUCCUGUCCAACUACAAACGAUAAAUCUUUAAAUUCUGUUUUAUACACAGGUCCAAAACUGCAAGCUGACCUUGUGGAAUUAUUAAUUCGUUUUCGAUUACGUGAAAUUUCAUUGUGCGGUGACAUUUCAAAGAUGUACCGUUGUAUAUUAAUUGAUAAAUCUCAACGUAAAUUUCAGCAUAUACUGUGGCGUGAUUCGCCCAGCGAACCUAUAAAGGUGUACGAACUGUGCACAGUGACGUACGGGGUAGUGAGUAGCCCGUUUUUGGCGAUCCGUACGUUGCAACAGUUAGCUGCGGACGAAGGCAGUCGCUUUCCCGACGCUGCCCGCGCUCUGCGCGAAGGGUUUUAUGUCGACGAUUUCCUUUGGUCAGUAGAUAAUGUAGAAGAAGCAUUGAAACUUCAGCAAGAGCUUGUUGAAUUACUCAAAUUGGGCGGAUUUGAAUUGCGUAAAUGGUCGAGUAAUAGCGUUCAGGUACUCAAUAAACUGCCUAACGAUCAACUCGAGCCCCCGGUUCAAUUUGAUGAUGGUAAAACCUUGUCGAUUAAAAUCCUUGGUUUACAUUGGUUACCGGAAGAAGACGCAUUUUCUUUCCGUACUACACCGAUGACAACGAAUGUCACGAAACGUUCGGUGCUUUCUGAAAUAGCUAAGCUAUUUGAUCCCUUGGGAUUCGCUGCGCCAUGCACAUUCCUUGCUAAGCAUUUUAUGCAAAAACUAUGGUGCGCGAAACUAGGAUGGGAUGAUUCUCUCCCUAAGACUUUACUUGAUGAAUGGUUAACCUUUUCAUCUCAAAUACCGUUGUUAUCGAAAUUGAGACAUAAUCGGCAUCUUUUUAUCAAACACCAUACGGUAGCUCAAGUAGUAGGUUUUUGUGAUGCUUCAGUGGCUGGAUUCGCAGCCACCGUGUAUAUUCGCAGUCAGGAUGCACAUGGGAAUGUGAACGUGAGUUUACUGUUAUCUAAAUCUAAGGUCUCGCCCUUAAAAACAGUAUCAAUCCCUCGUCUUGAAUUGAUAGCUGCUCAUUUAUUGUCAAAGGUUCUAUGCUAUGUGGUGGCUAUGUUGUCUAAAGACGUGCAGAUCGAUGAGGUGUUAGCGUUCACCGACAGUUCGGUGGCACUGACGUGGAUAAAUACGCCUGCAUUCAAGUUAAAAACCUUUAUUGCUAACAGGGUUACUAAAAUUAAUGAAAAUCCAUAUGAGCUGCAGUGGUAUCACGUCAAUGGUACUGAUAAUCCCGCCGAUGUGUGCUCUCGCGGUGCCACCCCGGCGCAAUUACUUGAGAUCGCGGAUCAGUGGCUCCGUGGCCCACACUGGUUGUAUGAACCACGACAAACAUGGCCGGUGCGGACAAUUGAUGAGUUUAGAGGUGAACCAUUAGAACUCAAACCUGUCAAACAUAAUUAUACAUUGCUGAGUGAAGGUUCCAACGUAAAAACGGAUUUUUACUCAAUAAUUCUUAAAUUUUCAAAUUUUAAUCGAUUAUUGCGUGUAUUUGCUUGGUGUCUGAGAUUCAUAAAUAAUUCUAGAGUUUCUUCCCUUAAUAGAUCAAAAGGUGCCUUGCUUACCGCUGAAUUAAAUCAAUCUCAUGAUAAAGUUAUUCAAAUAGUUCAACUUAAUCAUUUUCAACAUGACAUUGAAUCUUUAAAGAAAGGCAAUCAAUGCUCUCAAAGUCUACGUAAACUCGACCCGUUCAUAGAUAGCCGUGGUCUCCUCAUGGUGGGGGGUAGACUUUCACAAGCAGACUUGCCAUUUACUCAACGUCACCCAUUGAUUUUGCCUAAAAAUUCGCACUUUACUAAUAUUUUGAUAGACUAUUAUCACACUGUCUAUUUACAUACUGGGCCUAGGUCACUUCAAAAUAUACUAGCUCAAAGAUAUUGGAUUGUAGCUGCCAGGUGUAUAAUACGGUCUCGUCUGUCAAGAUGUAUUAGAUGCUUUAAAAAUAGGCCCUCUAUUAAUCAACCUAAGAUGGGUUCUUUACCUAAAUGCCGUUUACAAGAUGUAUACCCAUUUCACACAGUCGGUGUCGAUAUGGGAGGUCCAUUUUACAUUAAAGAGUCAACUCGACGUAACGCAAAAAUAUCAAAGGCGUAUUUAUGUCUUUUUGUUUGUUACUCAACGCGAGCAGUACAUCUCGAAGUAGUCUCUGCGUUAACUACUGAAUGCUUCUUGGCUGCAUUCGACCGAUUUACGGGUCGACGUGGCCUUCCGCAUACGGUCUAUUCCGAUAACGGUAAAAAUUUUGUGGCUGCCGGCAAGCAUUUCAAUGAAUUAUUUGACUUCUACAAUAAAAAUCAACAUCAACUAACUGAUAAGUUUACGGUCAGGAAGGUAACGUGGAAAUAUAAUCCUCCGGCAGGAAGUCAUUUUGGCGGAAUGUUUGAAGCCGGAAUUAAAUCGGCUAAAUAUCAUUUAAAACGCGUACUUGGUACACGUGCUUUGUCGUUCGAAGAACUGUGCACUUUAUUUUCUAAUAUAGAAGCGAUUUUAAACUCGCGGCCUCUGUGCAGUUUGUCAAACGAUCCCAACGAAUUCGACGUCUUGACCCCAGGACAUUUUUUAGUUGGUCGUCAAUUAGUGUCGACUCCUACUUACGACUCCUCGAAUACGUCUCUUAAUCGCUUAACGCGAUGGCAAUGUAUUCAGCAGGCCACGCUGCAUUUUUGGCGUCGGUGGAAAGGUGAAUACCUACAUACAUUGCAGCAAAGACAAAAAUGGCUAGUUGACACACCUAACUUAUCCGUAGAUGACUUAGUUUUGAUCCAUAACGACAACAUUCCAUGCCAACAAUGGAGCCUAGGACGUGUCGAAAAAAUUCAUCCCGGACUUGAUGGAAGGGUUCGCGUUGUUACCGUUCGAACGCAAAAUUCGCGACUGCAGCGCCCUGUCACUAAAUUGAGUCCUCUCCCAAAAGAGCAGGAUGAAUAGAUACAUUCUCAUUUUCAAAUUCAUUCAAUAUACAUACAUAUAUAUAUAGUUAAGUAAUAAAGUUAAAUAAUAUUUAUAGUUAUAUAUAGUAUAUUUAUAUCCACAUUUAUACAGUCCACUUAAAAUAUUCUAUAUCUAGAUAAUACCUAUUUUAUCUCGAACAGGUACACUGAUCUCGUAAGUUCUCGUAUUGUACUCAAAACAUUAUUUAUUCUGUGUUUAUCCAUUUUGAAAUCAAUGUUGAUUUCGGUGGGGGGAAAUGUUAGGUAACCGACUAAAAUCCUUUUCCUUACCUACAACGCCAUCUAGUAUCGUCCUGUGACAUCUACACGUCAAGAUUGCAACCCCCUCCCGGGCGGUCGCGCCAAAAAGUAGUCGAAGAAAGAUCGAAGUCACGCAAUCUCGCGCGCAUAACAAAAUUAAAAAUACUCAAAAAUACCCAAAAGUGAUUACUGCUGUGUGAUAAUUAUUCAAUUCAUUCACCUCUAAGACAAGGAACAGUGCCCCGGGGACAGAAGAUUAACAGCAAGCCAAAUUCACAAAAAAUUUGCUGGACCACGAUAUGCAGUUGUCUGUUAUCCACGAUGAAAUGGUAAAAUGAAAUUAUGUAUAAUUAAAAUUAA